CAGCAGGAGGGGUGGGAGCAGACGCCCUCCCUGCACUAAUGCUGUUCUCAGGUGGUUCCCACACCUGGGCCUCCCCAUUGCCUCUCAGCUUGCCUGCAGCAGGCAAAAAGCAGCUGGCUGCUUAUCCCCACCGGAGCACACAUUCAGAACCAUUUGUCAGCCUCGGAGUCUUCCCAAACCCAGCACUUGGGGGCAGGGGCAGGGGCGUAGGAAACCCAGCUGAUCUGCAAACAUACACAGAGCCUGCAGCCGGUCUUUCCUCUGCUCGCCCAGGUAGGAACCCUAGAGCCUUUGUGCUUGGAGGACUUGGAGAGGCUCCCUCCUCAGCUCCGUGUGUCCUGUGAGCAAAACUGCAAUCCAUGCAGGACCAAUGGAAGCUGGUCCAUCUCUUCUUGAAGCUGGCCCAGCUCUCUUUGUCCAUUACUUAUUUUACAUCCAGAAAACGUUCCCUUAUAUCUGAUUCUACUUCUUCAGGUCCCAUUCCCCAGAGAGGUGGAGAACACUGUCUCCAUCCUCACAAAUCUGGCCCCGACUCAGUCUCUUUUGUUCACUCUCUCUCCUGAACCCCUCUCCCCCAGGUAACUAACUCCCCCUUGUCGGUAGCCUUCCCUGGUCAGCUAGGGGCUGCCCAAAGGACUCCACUGGGGCCUGAAAGCUUUUCCUCACCUCCAGGGCAGAAGCGAAGGGCUGCCCAUAAAGUGGGGAGGCAUCCAGCCCCCACCUCCAGGCUUCCCGCAGCCUCACUGAGCGUCCACCCCGCUGAAACCCCUGUACGCCCCUGGCCUCAGGCGCAUUUCUGAGGGGCAGCUUUUAUCUUCCUCCCUUUAUCUCUUUGCUCUUUUGGUGGCCUUCCUGAGUCCCUCCUCGUCACCCCACUCAGGACACCAAGGAAUAAAGGUUCUAUCAAACCAUCUGGCUCAAGAUGCAUGCGAUGGAUAGCCUGCUCUCCCAGAACCAUUUAUGAAAUAGUUCAUCCUUUGCCACUGAAACCACAAGUGGUAAUGCAGUAUCCUGGGGCUAGAAAUGGCAGGGAACCAUCACUUUUCUUAGGCUGGAAAGAGAAAGGAGUGAGAGCAGAUGUGGAAACAUGGAAACUGGAGGGCCAAAAGGAAGGGCUCCUCUAUGGCAACUGACCUCAAGUAAGGAAUAGCCAACCUGCAGCCACGCUGCGGGACCACCGCUGGGGAACUAAGUGCACCAGCCCCACCUUCAAUCUCCCCCACAGUCUCCUGCUGAUGCUUCCUUUUGGCCAAACCCAAGUAGAAGCAAAGGGUGAGAGAGCUGUCAGUGUGGUCCCUCCAAGUCAGCCUCCUGGGACCUAGAGCAAUGAGGAGAUGGAGGAGGAGUGGAUAGCCGGAGGAGAACAUGGAAGGCGUUCAGCACAAAGACCCCAUCUUGUUAAGAAGUCCCUGCAUUUUAACUCUUACCAAUAGAAACUGACCUUUUUGUGAUACUGUAACUCUGCUUUUUCUGAUUUCUUACAUGUUUUUCUAAUAUAACUUAACAUAUGCAU
RNAcentral lists this long non-coding RNA (1513 nucleotides) under Homo sapiens (human). RNAcentral's name for it is "HSALNT0033921". Lineage: Eukaryota; Metazoa; Chordata; Mammalia; Primates; Hominidae. The record is from RNAcentral.